RNAcentral lists this unclassified non-coding RNA (201 nucleotides) under uncultured Sebacinaceae. RNAcentral's name for it is "sequence contains ITS2". Lineage: Eukaryota; Fungi; Basidiomycota; Agaricomycetes; Sebacinales; Sebacinaceae. The record is from RNAcentral.
GUACCCUCACACUUCUGGUCUUUGGGCUGGGAGCGGUGGACUUGGGUGUUGCUGCUUUACCGUGGCUCACCUUAAAUGCAUUAGUGCAUCUCCAGAUUGGACAUAGUACAGCGUGAUAAAUAUCUUCGCUGGCGCCUCGCUUCAGAGGGUGGCUGAUCCAGAGCUCUGUGCUUUCAAACCGUCUUCGGACAAUAACUGACA